UUGAUUGUAGGAAGGUUGUGGCAUUGGUGGCUGCUGGACUUGACCUUGAUUGUAGGAAGGUUGUGGCAUGGGUGGCUGCUGACUCUGACCUUGAUUGUAGGAAGGUUGCGGCAUCGGUGGCUGCUGAUUCUGACCUUGAUUGUAGGAAGGUUGCGGCAUCGGUGGCUGCUGAGCUUGAUUAUAGGCAGUUUGUGGCAUCUGUGGCUGCUGGUCUGCCUGGUAUGAAUAUGGUGGGGCCUGCUGUUGCUGCUGAGGUUGCAUGUAAGGACCAUGCGGGUACGGCAUGUGUUGAGGAUGCACGCUGUGGUACUGAUGUGUCUGAUUUGGCAUGGGUGUCUGCUGUUGCUGAUAUGGCACUUGCUGAAACGGUGCUUGGUGCUGAAACGGUUGCUGCUGAGCUGGAUGUUGAGUGUGCUGCUGCCCAAGCUGGCCAGCCUGAGGAGGAUAAGCUGCCUGGCUAGGACGCUCCUGGUGCCCUGCUUGGCCAGUUUGGCCGAACUGCACGUUAGGCUGUGAAAAAGCUGCAGGUGCAGGUUCCGGAACCUGCGCAGGGGUCGACGGUGGAGGACCUGCUGCCAAAGGGGGCACCCCUGCAGUUGCUGCCGGCUUCUCAUACUGGGUAACAUUCGUCUCUGGGUUCCAAUAGUACAGCGUCGCGCCAUCAAUCAGCGCUUUCCAGGGCACAGGAAGCGUCGGGUCAUCCG
This 704-nucleotide unclassified non-coding RNA is filed under the name Zea mays. RNAcentral describes it as "misc RNA Zm00001eb164830". Lineage: Eukaryota; Viridiplantae; Streptophyta; Magnoliopsida; Poales; Poaceae. The record is from RNAcentral.